AGCCUGUGACCACCAAAGCCUGAACAGGCACAUCCCCACAGGCUUCUCUGCUGUCCCUGAUAUGUGCCUUCUGGGCCACCUCGAGAGGCAGGGCUGCGAGCCUCAGUCCAUUGGGGCUGUUCCCAAGAGACACCCAGAUGCUUUGUCAAGGGAAGCCCCAGCUUCCUAAGUGCAGGAUCACCCCAGGAACAAAGUCAAGAGGUGUCCUUUGCCAGCCAUGAUGCUAUCUCACCUGUUGCUAUGCAGGCCGCCAAAGAAGAGCUCCUUGCUGCUGCAAAGCUCCUGAGGUGGAGGGAGCUCAAAGACCUGGUGCAGACACAUCAGACAUGGAGGAUUGGUGAGGGCUGACAGCACCUGAGGGACCAAAGCAUGCCUAUGUGGAUGAGAUCUGCAGCACCCUUCAGCCCCUGCAGACAGACAGCAAUGAAAUCGUCUCUUGCCUGGCAACUCAGACCAUCUUGAUCCUGAGGGCUUUAAAUCUACAGCAAAAACCAAGAUUCAAUCUAUGUACACUGUUCUUCUGGCGUCGCUGAGCCAGCUGGAGGAUGGCUGUGAUUUAAUAAAUCUGAAACAAUAGGUCCAAACCCAUGGUGUCCUUCAGAUGUGCAGCAUCCUGAGCAGACUGCAUCCUGCUUGGCCUGUACCACUGCCUGCAGGACAACUUCCCCUCAGCACACCACAGAUCCAGGUUUGUUUGAGAAGUUGACCCCUUGCUGAGGCUUUUCCCAGGAGAAGCCUCAUUUGUCUCUCCUCAGGGCAGUCCCUCCACCACACAGCGAGGACAGGGCACAGAAAGAGUGGCCCCAACUCUGCAUCCCCAUGGGUGUCCAGGCACUCAACAAGGCAUCUGCUGUUGCUGCAUCACCACCUCCCCUCACCAUAAUAGUUUUGGAAGGGUUUCCAAGCAGCUUACUGUGGUGUUAAGGGGACCAGAGGGAAACCCCAGGGGCCCUAGAGAGACUGGAGGACAAACAGGAAGUCUCGGUCACCGCCACCACAUCAGAGGAUGGGCCUCUGCCACCAUGUUGCUGCUGACAGGGGCAGCUGUCCCGACCCACUGGUCAGGGGCAUGAUGUUCAUUAUAAAUCCUUGUCAGGCUGAGCAAAGACACUGGACAUGUGUCUGGGAACUUAUUGUACAGUCCCCAUAACUCUGGCAACCAGCCCACUAUUCAGACUGAAAAGGUGUUGGCCAACAAGCCCUUAAAUUCUUACAGCACACUUCCACAAGAGCGAUGGCUAACAAGCCCUUAAUUUUGUACAGUACACAGCAAUAAGUUCGC
Molecule: long non-coding RNA, 1282 nt
Organism: Lepidothrix coronata (blue-crowned manakin)
Lineage: Eukaryota; Metazoa; Chordata; Aves; Passeriformes; Pipridae
Exons: 3
Source: RefSeq, a predicted model, not a curated record